GGUUUUGCGGCAGCUACACAUGCAGUCGAGCGGAACGACUUAACUGAACCUUCGGGGGACGUUAAGGGCGUCGAGCGGCGGACGGGUGAGUAAUGCCUGGGAAAUUGCCCUGAUGUGGGGGAUAACCAUUGGAAACGAUGGCUAAUACCGCAUAAUGCCUUCGGGCCAAAGAGGGGGACCUUCGGGCCUCUCGCGUCAGGAUAUGCCCAGGUGGGAUUAGCUAGUUGGUGAGGUAAGGGCUCACCAAGGCGACGAUCCCUAGCUGGUCUGAGAGGAUGAUCAGCCACACUGGAACUGAGACACGGUCCAGACUCCUACGGGAGGCAGCAGUGGGGAAUAUUGCACAAUGGGCGCAAGCCUGAUGCAGCCAUGCCGCGUGUAUGAAGAAGGCCUUCGGGUUGUAAAGUACUUUCAGUCGUGAGGAAGGUAGUGUAGUUAAUAGCUGCAUUGCUUGACGUUAGCGACAGAAGAAGCACCGGCUAACUCCGUGCCAGCAGCCGCGGUAAUACGGAGGGUGCGAGCGUUAAUCGGAAUUACUGGGCGUAAAGCGCAUGCAGGUGGUUUGUUAAGUCAGAUGUGAAAGCCCGGGGCUCAACCUCGGAAUUGCAUUUGAAACUGGCAGACUAGAGUACUGUAGAGGGGGGUAGAAUUUCAGGUGUAGCGGUGAAAUGCGUAGAGAUCUGAAGGAAUACCGGUGGCGAAGGCGGCCCCCUGGACAGAUACUGACACUCAGAUGCGAAAGCGUGGGGAGCAAACAGGAUUAGAUACCCUGGUAGUCCACGCCGUAAACGAUGUCUACUUGGAGGUUGUGGCCUUGAGCCGUGGCUUUCGGAGCUAACGCGUUAAGUAGACCGCCUGGGGAGUACGGUCGCAAGAUUAAAACUCAAAUGAAUUGACGGGGGCCCGCACAAGCGGUGGAGCAUGUGGGUUUAAUUCGAUGCAACGCGAGAACCUUACCUACUCUUGACAUCCAGAGAACUUUCCAGAGAUGGAUUGGUGC
This 1000-nucleotide ribosomal RNA is filed under the name Vibrio ouci. Its description in RNAcentral is "bacterial SSU rRNA". It matches the Rfam family "Bacterial small subunit ribosomal RNA", at positions 35 to 1017 of the family's 1533-position model. The record is from RNAcentral. Lineage: Bacteria; Pseudomonadati; Pseudomonadota; Gammaproteobacteria; Vibrionales; Vibrionaceae.